RNAcentral lists this ribosomal RNA (2905 nucleotides) under Escherichia coli. RNAcentral describes it as "23S ribosomal RNA". It matches the Rfam family "Bacterial large subunit ribosomal RNA". Lineage: Bacteria; Pseudomonadati; Pseudomonadota; Gammaproteobacteria; Enterobacterales; Enterobacteriaceae. The record is from RNAcentral.
GGUUAAGCGACUAAGCGUACACGGUGGAUGCCCUGGCAGUCAGAGGCGAUGAAGGACGUGCUAAUCUGCGAUAAGCGUCGGUAAGGUGAUAUGAACCGUUAUAACCGGCGAUUUCCGAAUGGGGAAACCCAGUGUGAUUCGUCACACUAUCAUUAACUGAAUCCAUAGGUUAAUGAGGCGAACCGGGGGAACUGAAACAUCUAAGUACCCCGAGGAAAAGAAAUCAACCGAGAUUCCCCCAGUAGCGGCGAGCGAACGGGGAGCAGCCCAGAGCCUGAAUCAGUGUGUGUGUUAGUGGAAGCGUCUGGAAAGGCGCGCGAUACAGGGUGACAGCCCCGUACACAAAAAUGCACAUGCUGUGAGCUCGAUGAGUAGGGCGGGACACGUGGUAUCCUGUCUGAAUAUGGGGGGACCAUCCUCCAAGGCUAAAUACUCCUGACUGACCGAUAGUGAACCAGUACCGUGAGGGAAAGGCGAAAAGAACCCCGGCGAGGGGAGUGAAAAAGAACCUGAAACCGUGUACGUACAAGCAGUGGGAGCACAGAGCAAUCUGUGUGACUGCGUACCUUUUGUAUAAUGGGUCAGCGACUUAUAUUCUGUAGCAAGGUUAACCGAAUAGGGGAGCCGAAGGGAAACCGAGUCUUAACUGGGCGUUAAGUUGCAGGGUAUAGACCCGAAACCCGGUGAUCUAGCCAUGGGCAGGUUGAAGGUUGGGUAACACUAACUGGAGGACCGAACCGACUAAUGUUGAAAAAUUAGCGGAUGACUUGUGGCUGGGGGUGAAAGGCCAAUCAAACCGGGAGAUAGCUGGUUCUCCCCGAAAGCUAUUUAGGUAGCGCCUCGUGAAUUCAUCUCCGGGGGUAGAGCACUGUUUCGGCAAGGGGGUCAUCCCGACUUACCAACCCGAUGCAAACUGCGAAUACCGGAGAAUGUUAUCACGGGAGACACACGGCGGGUGCUAACGUCCGUCGUGAAGAGGGAAACAACCCAGACCGCCAGCUAAGGUCCCAAAGUCAUGGUUAAGUGGGAAACGAUGUGGGAAGGCCCAGACAGCCAGGAUGUUGGCUUAGAAGCAGCCAUCAUUUAAAGAAAGCGUAAUAGCUCACUGGUCGAGUCGGCCUGCGCGGAAGAUGUAACGGGGCUAAACCAUGCACCGAAGCUGCGGCAGCGACACUGUGUGUUGUUGGGUAGGGGAGCGUUCUGUAAGCCUGCGAAGGUGUGCUGUGAGGCAUGCUGGAGGUAUCAGAAGUGCGAAUGCUGACAUAAGUAACGAUAAAGCGGGUGAAAAGCCCGCUCGCCGGAAGACCAAGGGUUCCUGUCCAACGUUAAUCGGGGCAGGGUGAGUCGACCCCUAAGGCGAGGCCGAAAGGCGUAGUCGAUGGGAAACAGGUUAAUAUUCCUGUACUUGGUGUUACUGCGAAGGGGGGACGGAGAAGGCUAUGUUGGCCGGGCGACGGUUGUCCCGGUUUAAGCGUGUAGGCUGGUUUUCCAGGCAAAUCCGGAAAAUCAAGGCUGAGGCGUGAUGACGAGGCACUACGGUGCUGAAGCAACAAAUGCCCUGCUUCCAGGAAAAGCCUCUAAGCAUCAGGUAACAUCAAAUCGUACCCCAAACCGACACAGGUGGUCAGGUAGAGAAUACCAAGGCGCUUGAGAGAACUCGGGUGAAGGAACUAGGCAAAAUGGUGCCGUAACUUCGGGAGAAGGCACGCUGAUAUGUAGGUGAAGUCCCUCGCGGAUGGAGCUGAAAUCAGUCGAAGAUACCAGCUGGCUGCAACUGUUUAUUAAAAACACAGCACUGUGCAAACACGAAAGUGGACGUAUACGGUGUGACGCCUGCCCGGUGCCGGAAGGUUAAUUGAUGGGGUUAGCGCAAGCGAAGCUCUUGAUCGAAGCCCCGGUAAACGGCGGCCGUAACUAUAACGGUCCUAAGGUAGCGAAAUUCCUUGUCGGGUAAGUUCCGACCUGCACGAAUGGCGUAAUGAUGGCCAGGCUGUCUCCACCCGAGACUCAGUGAAAUUGAACUCGCUGUGAAGAUGCAGUGUACCCGCGGCAAGACGGAAAGACCCCGUGAACCUUUACUAUAGCUUGACACUGAACAUUGAGCCUUGAUGUGUAGGAUAGGUGGGAGGCUUUGAAGUGUGGACGCCAGUCUGCAUGGAGCCGACCUUGAAAUACCACCCUUUAAUGUUUGAUGUUCUAACGUGGACCCGUGAUCCGGGUUGCGGACAGUGUCUGGUGGGUAGUUUGACUGGGGCGGUCUCCUCCUAAAGAGUAACGGAGGAGCACGAAGGUUGGCUAAUCCUGGUCGGACAUCAGGAGGUUAGUGCAAUGGCAUAAGCCAGCUUGACUGCGAGCGUGACGGCGCGAGCAGGUGCGAAAGCAGGUCAUAGUGAUCCGGUGGUUCUGAAUGGAAGGGCCAUCGCUCAACGGAUAAAAGGUACUCCGGGGAUAACAGGCUGAUACCGCCCAAGAGUUCAUAUCGACGGCGGUGUUUGGCACCUCGAUGUCGGCUCAUCACAUCCUGGGGCUGAAGUAGGUCCCAAGGGUAUGGCUGUUCGCCAUUUAAAGUGGUACGCGAGCUGGGUUUAGAACGUCGUGAGACAGUUCGGUCCCUAUCUGCCGUGGGCGCUGGAGAACUGAGGGGGGCUGCUCCUAGUACGAGAGGACCGGAGUGGACGCAUCACUGGUGUUCGGGUUGUCAUGCCAAUGGCACUGCCCGGUAGCUAAAUGCGGAAGAGAUAAGUGCUGAAAGCAUCUAAGCACGAAACUUGCCCCGAGAUGAGUUCUCCCUGACUCCUUGAGAGUCCUGAAGGAACGUUGAAGACGACGACGUUGAUAGGCCGGGUGUGUAAGCGCAGCGAUGCGUUGAGCUAACCGGUACUAAUGAACCGUGAGGCUUAACCUU